This is a long non-coding RNA of Armigeres subalbatus, 297 nucleotides long. RefSeq lists it as uncharacterized. The record is from RefSeq and is a predicted model, not a curated record. The transcript is spliced from 2 exons. Lineage: Eukaryota; Metazoa; Arthropoda; Insecta; Diptera; Culicidae.
GUAUAGAAUUGAAAUUUUUGUGGAAGAAAACAAAACAAAUAGCAUCGUGUGACCGACACUUCUGCACCAAAAAGCUGCAUUAACUAUGUUUUAUUGGACAACAGGGCGAUUCGUGAAAAUAAUGGUGUUACCAGCAACACCGACCAUCGCCCGCCGGUGGUGUUACCGAAUGAUUUACCACCGCCUCACCGGGUGCUGGAGGGCGACAAACUAGUUGCAGAGUAUGGUAAUGUUCUCAUUUUGUGGAAUUAUUUGAAGAUUCAAUAUAUAUGAUGAAUACAGAACCGUUAUUUACGA